GACCCGAUGGCACAGCUGGUUACUGCGUCUGCCCUUCUUGUUUCCAACCCUUGUUUGUGCGCAGAAGACCCUCGUUCGAACCGGGGUCGGGUCA
Molecule: non-coding RNA, 94 nt
Organism: Mycena alexandri
Lineage: Eukaryota; Fungi; Basidiomycota; Agaricomycetes; Agaricales; Mycenaceae
Source: the annotation of a GenBank genome assembly